GGAAGACAGGUUUGUGGUUUCAAGGACAGUUUACUGUAAAUCACUUACAUUAUCAGGUAGAAUAAGCUUGAGCAUUAUGUUUGUUUGAAUUAAAUAUGCUAAUAUUACUUUCUUCCAAAGGGUUGAUGAGGUUGAACAAGAAAAUGUUAGCCAGAUCGUUUUAAUGCUGUGGCUGACAGUUUAACAUUAAAUCUUCAGUAAUUUAAAGUUCAUCACCACUCAUUCAAAAGCAACAACACAAACCCAGACUCUUAAAAUAUAUUACAUUAGAGGGCACCACAAACAAAAUUAAAACAGUUGAGACAGAUUCAAAAAGAUAAUGCUUGGGAGAGGAGAGUGGAAGAAACAGAGGGUUAAUUCUUCUCUUGACAAGCAGGUUGGAAAGAUCAGACAGAAACAAAAUUACUCUACUUGGAUUGGUACAAGUGUCCAGGCAAAGUGGGAAUGGAAGUGUGGGUGGCUUGCUGAUGAAAGGCAGAUGUCACAUUUCAUGUGUCAAAUGUCCUUGUUAGGUUUUUUUUUCCUUCUUUUUUUUUCUUGGUUCUUCCCUGUCUCCAAAUCUGCCAACACUUCAACAAAUGUACCCCAUUUUCUCUCUCUCGUCCUCUCUCUGAUUACUUUCUAUGUUCUCUUCUGCAAGAGGGAUAGUGUUUAGUCUAAUUGACCAACUAUGGCGAUGACAAAGGUAUCAAAGCAAAGUGAUUUUGAUUUUUCCUUUUGAGACAUGCCUGCUUUUUCAUUUUGUCAGUUCCUCAUCUUUUUCAAACCAUCCAGUUAAGAUCUUUAUGUAGGUGGCAAAGAUAUAAAGGUUAGAGUUUCUGCUUAAAGUUUAGUAUUUUAUCCUAAGACUUGCAAAUCUAAACUAUGCUAGAGGUUGAAAUACUUAAUUUAUUUGGAUAAAAUAAGCAACUUGUUUCAAGGUUAUUUAUAUCCAUAUGUCUAUGCACUUAUCGGACUACAGUAUGUACAAUGUGGACUUUUUUUCUUUUGCUGCAGUACUAACUGUGAGCAAUUGGAGGAGCUCUAGUGAUAUUGUUUUGAUCACUCGGAAAGACCACUGGAAGGACCAAAUCUGCAUCUGUAUACAUGUGCAUGCAAACCUUGACUGUGUACCUAUUUUUGUAUGUUUGUUACUUCUGCUGCUGUGCUGACGAUGCAUGCAUUUGUGGAUUAAAGUUAUGUUAGUGCAUGUGUUCAAUGUGCACAGCCUUAUACAUAUUUUUUGUAUACACAGAGCCAUGUGUGUCAUAUGGGUAACAAACGUGUGUAAAUUCAAGUACAGCAAUGAAA
Molecule: long non-coding RNA, 1290 nt
Organism: Astatotilapia calliptera (eastern happy)
Lineage: Eukaryota; Metazoa; Chordata; Actinopteri; Cichliformes; Cichlidae
Source: Ensembl